This 375-nucleotide ribosomal RNA is filed under the name uncultured bacterium. Its description in RNAcentral is "bacterial SSU rRNA". It matches the Rfam family "Bacterial small subunit ribosomal RNA", at positions 524 to 898 of the family's 1533-position model. The record is from RNAcentral.
UACGUAGGUGGCGAGCGUUGUCCGGAAUUAUUGGGCGUAAAGCGCGCGCAGGCGGGAUAUUAAGUCUGCUCUAAAAGUGCGGGGCUCAACUCCGUAGCGGGGUAGAAACUGAUAUUCUUGAGUGCCGGAGAGGAAAGCGGAAUUCCCAGUGUAGCGGUGAAAUGCGUAGAUAUUGGGAGGAACACCAGUGGCGAAGGCGGCUUUCUGGACGGUGUCUGACGCUGAGGCGCGAAAGCCAGGGGAGCGAACGGGAUUAGAUACCCCGGUAGUCCUGGCCGUAAACGAUGGGUACUAGGUGUAGGGGGUAUCGACCCCCCCUGUGCCGGAGUUAACGCAAUAAGUACCCCGCCUGGGGAGUACGGCCGCAAGGUUGAA